UUAAAAUCAUGGAGGCACCUGCGUGGCUCAGGCGGUUAAGCGUCCUACUUCUGCUCACGUCACGGUGCUGACAGCUCAGAGCCUAGAGCCUGUUUCAGAGUCUGUGUCUCAUUCUCUCUCUGCCCCUCGCUCACUCUCGCUCGCUCACUCUCUCAAAAAAUAAGCAUUACAAAAAAAUUUUUUUUAAAUCAUGGAGACUUCUCUGUCAAGAAGCAGCAGGAAAAAUCAGAGAUUAACAUCUGAAGGGCUAGAUACCACACUGUUGCUGGUUCGAUGAUGAAGAGGACCACAUAAGAAGGAACAAAAGUGGCCUCCAAGAGCAGGAAUAGCCCCUGGUUGACAGCCAGCAAGGAAGUGGGACCUCUUUAGUCCUACAACUACAAGGACCUGAAUUCUGCCAACAACCUGAAUGGUCUUGGAAGAGAAUCUUCCUCAGAGCCUCCAGAUCAUAAAGCGGCCAGCAUGAUGCCUUGAUUUUGACCUGAAGCCUCAAGGACUUCUGACCUACAGAACUGUGGCUAAUAAAUGAAUGCUGUGACAAGCCACUGGAUCUGUGGUCAUUUGUUACGAGGCAUCGACACCCAUACAAGACUCCAACUUGAGCAUAGAUUCAUCUCCACCUAAGAUAUCCUGCCUUUGCCAGCUGUUUCUGUUGCCUACUGAACUGUGUAUACAAAGAUGACAAGCAAAUCACACAUUAAGAAAUCCUGGUCUUGCUGGCAGGUUGAAUGAGAAAGCUUUCAAAAUAAGAAAUUCUUCUGGAACUGUGCUGGAGAGCUGAAGCCUGUUGUAUUUAACAGACGAGCGCAUACCAGCAUGCGCACCCACACGGAAAUGUGCGCCAUGGGAUUAACCGAAGAAACUUUUGCUGCUAUUCUUGCCCUUCAAGAGAAACUGGAGUAAAACACACCUCCUGCCACUUCAUUAUGUCAGAGGUUUGUGUCUCCCAUUAGUAAAUCCACAGAGAGCAGGGACUUCCUGCCAGCCAAAUGGUGUAGAUGGAAUAGAUUCAAAUAUUUGAGACAGAACCUGCUUUGUGUCUGGUCCUUUACAGACGUUUUCUCUAGCCAAGAGAGUCAAUGCGAAUGCCUUGCUCUCUCCAAAGCCUGUUGGUGCCCUUAGGAAUUGCGGCUCUCCAGUUUCUAGGCUUUAUCCACCCUUUCUCCCACCGAAACAAGAGUUCUGAAUUCUUUGCCAGAGACCUUACAAAUCCUGGCACAUAGUAGGUGUUCAGUGCAUAUUUGUUGAAUAAAUAAAAAUACCGAAUUAUCGAAUGUGUGACCUGUUUGUCGGACUUCUGGUAGUGAUCAGAACUAUUUCUGCCCAUGUGGAUCUUGAUAGCUAAGAAUUCUGGGGCUGGAAGCCUUCAGAAGAUGUGUCAUGGCUGUGAGC
Felis catus (domestic cat) is the source of this 1392-nucleotide long non-coding RNA. RefSeq lists it as uncharacterized. The record is from RefSeq and is a predicted model, not a curated record. NCBI's taxonomy places the organism in Eukaryota, Metazoa, Chordata, Mammalia, Carnivora, Felidae. The transcript is spliced from 3 exons.